This 468-nucleotide ribosomal RNA is filed under the name uncultured bacterium. Its description in RNAcentral is "partial 16S ribosomal RNA". It matches the Rfam family "Bacterial small subunit ribosomal RNA", at positions 28 to 507 of the family's 1533-position model. The record is from RNAcentral.
GACGAACGCUGGCGGCGUGCUUAACACAUGCAAGUCGAACGGAGAGGCCCUGCUUUUGUUGGGUUCUCGAGUGGCGAACGGGUGAGUAACACGUGAGUAACCUGCCCUUGACUUUGGGAUAACUUCAGGAAACUGGGGCUAAUACCGGAUAUGAGCUCCUGCUGCAUUGUGUGGGUUGGAAAGUUUCUGCUGUUGGGGAUUGACUCGCGGCUUAUCAGCUUGUUGGUUGGGUAGUGGCUUACCAAGGCUUUGACGGGUAGCCGGCCUGAGAGGGUGAACGGCCAAAAUGGGACUGAGAUACGGACCAGACUCCUACGGGAGGCAGCAGUGGGGAAUAUUGCACAAUGGGAGGAAGCCUGAUGCAGCAAAGCCGCGUGCGGGAUGACGGCCUUCGGGUUGUAAACAGCUUUCGCCUGUGACGAAGAGUGAGUGACGGUAAUGGGUAAAGAAGCACCGGCUAACUACGUG